This is an RNA transcript of Biomphalaria glabrata, 1205 nucleotides long. RefSeq lists it as uncharacterized. NCBI's taxonomy places the organism in Eukaryota, Metazoa, Mollusca, Gastropoda, Planorbidae. The record is from RefSeq and is a predicted model, not a curated record. The transcript is spliced from 4 exons.
AUAUAGAUAGAUAUAGAUAGAUAGAUAGAUAGAUAGAUAGAUAGAUAGAUCAUCAUCAUCAUCAUCAAAUUCCAUUAGAGUGAGGGCUUGAGAGGGUCAAAUUCUCUUUUGCAAAAGCCCUGGACAGAAACCCUGCUGUCUUGCGUAGUGCAUAAAUCUCGCCAUACAGGUCGAGAAUAUUUAGUUUCCCAGACCUGUUGAGAAGGAGAUCAGCAAGUCUGGGGCAGUCAAACAGAAUAUGAGGCACGGUUUCCUCUUCUUUCCCGCAGCGGGGGGCACCGUGAAUCGAAAUUUGGCCAUAGCCGUGAGAAAUAUGAGCCAACAGGACGAUCUCCUGUCCUGCAUUGUGCUAUAAUAGCUUGCUCAGGCCUGGACAGCCUCCACCACGGGGAAGAUAGAUACAUAGAUACAUAGAUUAUACGAAGUACGUAUCUGUGUUUAAGAAACUUUGAGCUGAAUAAAAUUAGAGACUACAAAUGCAGCAGAGUGAACAGAAUUCCCAUCCUUUCAGAGUCUUCAAGUAAUUGUUGUUCAAACGAUACAUGUAUUGCUAAUUUGUCUACUAAUUUAAUGAAACUACAAUUUAUUGAGCAGAAUGAUAUCCCGUGAAAAAAAAAAGCUUUAUCUAACUUUCGUUACGUCCAGUAACCUUGUUUAUCUUAUUGCAUUUACACAGAAGAGUUAGACCCCAAAACAGCGUGGCUGUUGUCCAUAGUUCUAGUCUUGAUCGUCGUGAUAACAUAUAUUCUAUUGGCUUAUUUUCUACUAAAAAGAAAGAGACAAUCAAAGAGUGAAAAGAAUGUUUACAAUGUGGUGAUGGAAACUCAUGAAGACCAUACUUACAAUACAUUAACGGAGACUCAAGGAGAGCUCAAUACUUACAACAAUUUACCAGAGAAUCCAAUGGAGGAGCAUAUUUAUAACAAUCUUACGAAUGACGAAGAGCAAGUCUAUACAGAAGUGACAGAUCUCGAGACUCAUGUUUACAUCAAUUGAAGACAAAUGCUAGCACUGACACAAAUUUGACCAAAAAAAAAUUAUUCUAAGUGAUAAAUCAAAACAUUGAUGUUGAAUUACCUGAAACAAUUAUUUGAUUCAAUGUUUGCUUUAAAAGUUAUAUUUAUUUACUUGUCAUCAGAUUGAUCUUUAUUGCAUCGUUGUAAACAUUUUUAAAUAAAGUUCGUUUAUAAAAUAUGAUCUGUUUA